GGAUGAGUAUUGGACAAUGGAGGCAACUCUGAUCCAGCCAUGCCGCGUGAAGGAUGACUGCCCUAUGGGUUGUAAACUUCUUUUAUACAGGAAGAAACGGUUUCACGUGUGAGACUUUGACGGUACUGUAUGAAUAAGCACCGGCUAACUCCGUGCCAGCAGCCGCGGUAAUACGGAGGGUGCAAGCGUUAUCCGGAAUCAUUGGGUUUAAAGGGUCCGUAGGCGGACUAAUAAGUCAGAGGUGAAAUCCCGCAGCUCAAACUGUGGAACUGCCUUUGAAACUGUUAGUCUUGAGUUAUUGUGAAGUGGUUAGAAUAUGUAGUGUAGCGGUGAAAUGCUUAGAGA
This 345-nucleotide ribosomal RNA is filed under the name uncultured Flavobacteriaceae bacterium. Its description in RNAcentral is "bacterial SSU rRNA". It matches the Rfam family "Bacterial small subunit ribosomal RNA", at positions 355 to 696 of the family's 1533-position model. Lineage: Bacteria; Pseudomonadati; Bacteroidota; Flavobacteriia; Flavobacteriales; Flavobacteriaceae. The record is from RNAcentral.